GAGGGUAUAGCUCAGUGGUAGAGCGUAUGCUUAGUAUGCAUCAAGGUCCUGGGUUCAAUCCCCAGCACUUCCA
Molecule: transfer RNA, 73 nt
Filed under: Camelus bactrianus (Bactrian camel)
Lineage: Eukaryota; Metazoa; Chordata; Mammalia; Artiodactyla; Camelidae
Also listed under: 3 other names
Rfam family: tRNA
About the family: Transfer RNA (tRNA) molecules are approximately 80 nucleotides in length.
Source: Rfam by way of RNAcentral